RNAcentral lists this ribosomal RNA (449 nucleotides) under Podarcis liolepis (Columbretes wall lizard). Its description in RNAcentral is "partial 16S ribosomal RNA". It matches the Rfam family "Bacterial large subunit ribosomal RNA", at positions 1858 to 2599 of the family's 2925-position model. Lineage: Eukaryota; Metazoa; Chordata; Lepidosauria; Squamata; Lacertidae. The record is from RNAcentral.
CCUGCCCAGUGAUUAAACGGCCGCGGUAUCCUAACCGUGCAAAGGUAGCAUAAUCACUUGUCCCCUAAUUAGGGACUAGAAUGAACGGCUAAAUGAGGACAAAACUGUCUCUUACGGCAGGCCAAUGAAAUUGAUCUUCCAGUACAAAAGCUGGAAUAAACACAUAAGACGAGAAGACCCUGUGGAGCUUUAAAACCAAAUCACCAAAUUUUUAGUUGGGGCGACUUUGGAGCAAAAAAAACCCUCCAAAAUACUAGAAUUAAGGCUUACACACCAAAAAUCAGACCCAGCAUGUCUGAUCAAUGAACCAAGUUACCCCAGGGAUAACAGCGCCAUCCUCUUCUAGAGUCCUUAUCGACAAGAGGGUUUACGACCUCGAUGUUGGAUCAGGACAUCCCUAUAGUGCAGCCGCUAUAAAAGGUUCGUUUGUUCAACGAUUAAAGUCCUAC